Molecule: ribosomal RNA, 444 nt
Filed under: uncultured bacterium
Lineage: Bacteria
Description: bacterial SSU rRNA
Rfam family: Bacterial small subunit ribosomal RNA
Source: RNAcentral
GUGCAGCAGUAAGGAAUAUUGGGCAAUGGACGCAAGUCUGACCCAGCCAUGCCGCGUGAAGGAAGACGGCCCUACGGGUUGUAAACUUCUUUUGCAAGGGAAUAAAGUGGGCCACGUGUGGCCUUUUGCAAGUACCUUGCGAAUAAGGAUCGGCUAACUCCGUGCCAGCAGCCGCGGUAAUACGGAGGAUCCGAGCGUUAUCCGGAUUUAUUGGGUUUAAAGGGUGCUCAGGCGGGACAUUAAGACGGCGGUGAAAUUUUGCGGCUCAACCGUAAAAGUGCCUUCGAAACUGGUAUCCUUGAGUGUGGAUGAGGUAGGCGGAAUUUGUGGUGUAGCGGUGAAAUGCAUAGAUAUCACGAGGAACUCCGAUUGCGCAGGCAGCUUACUAAGCCAUAACUGACGCUCAAGCACGAAGGCGUGGGGAUCAAACAGGAUUAGAUACCC